AUUGAACGCUGGCGGCAGGCCUAACACAUGCAAGUCGAACGAGUGGCGGACGGGUGAGUAAUGUCUGGGAAACUGCCCGAUGGAGGGGGAUAACUACUGGAAACGGUAGCUAAUCACGCAUACCAUCGGAUGUGCCCAGAUGGGAUUAGCUUGUAGGUGAGGUAACGGCUCACCAAGGCGACGAUCCCUCGCUGGUCUGAGAGGAGGACCAGCCACACGGGAACUGUGACACGGGCCAGACUCCUAAGGGAGGCUGGAGUGGUGAAUAUUGCACAAGUGGCGCAUGCCUGAUGCAGCCAUGGCGCGUGUAGGAAGAAGGCCUUCGGGUUGUAAAGUACUUUCAGCGGGGAGGCGUUACCCGCAGAAGAAGCACCGGCUAACUCCGUGCCAGCAGCCGCGGUAAUAC
This 406-nucleotide ribosomal RNA is filed under the name uncultured bacterium. RNAcentral's name for it is "partial 16S ribosomal RNA". It matches the Rfam family "Bacterial small subunit ribosomal RNA", at positions 30 to 526 of the family's 1533-position model. The record is from RNAcentral.